AAUACAUCCUUUUAAAUAGCUGCGAUUGCGAGACCUUCUCUCCCAAGCAAAAUCCCAAAUUCCUUGUAUUCCCCAACUCCUUCCAGAGGCAUCCUCUUUCCCAAUCUCGGUUCUUCGCUGCUCCAAGAACCAUUCAUCAUGGUUCUCGAGGCGACCAUGAUCUGCAUCGACAAUUCGGAAUGGAUGAGGAACGGCGAUUACUCCCCGACCCGAUUCCAAGCGCAAGCUGAUGCCGUUAAUCUCAUCUGCGGCGCAAAAACACAGUCUAAUCCAGAGAAUACUGUUGGUGUUCUAACAAUGGCAGGAAAAGGCGUUCGUGUUUUGGUCACCCCUACAAGUGAUCUCGGCAAAAUUCUGGCAUGCAUGCACGGUCUAGAAAUUGGUGGUGAGAUGAACAUGACUGCUGGGAUCCAGGUAGCUCAAUUGGCUCUUAAACAUCGCCAAAACAAAAAGCAGCAACAAAGGAUUAUAGUUUUUGCUGGAAGUCCUAUCAAAUAUGACAAGAAGGUACUUGAGACAAUAGGAAGAAAGUUGAAAAAGAACAGUGUUGCUCUUGAUAUUGUUGAUUUUGGUGAAGAAGAUGAUGGGAAACCGGAAAAGCUGGAGGCCCUUCUUUCUUCUGUAAACAAUAAUGACAGCAGUCACAUUGUUCAUGUUCCUCCUGGUCCCAGUGCUCUUUCAGAUGUUCUUAUCAGUACGCCCAUAUUCACUGGAGAUGGGGAAGGAGGAAGCGGUUUUGCUGCAGCUGCUGCAGCUGCAGCUGCAGCAGGCGGUGUGUCUGGAUUUGAUUUUGGCGUGGAUCCUAACUUGGAUCCCGAGCUGGCUCUUGCCCUCCGGGUUUCAAUGGAAGAGGAGAGGGCAAGGCAAGAAGCUGCUGCUAAGAAAGCUUCAGAGGAUGCUGCUAAACAAGAAAAAGGAGGGGAGCAGGCAUCUAGUUCUCAAGAUGCAACUAUGGCUGAACCUGUAAGCAGUUCAGGUCCUGGGGCUGAUAACAAAAGAGCUGAUCUCACGGAGGAUGAGACUGCCUUGCUUGAGCAAGCCCUAGCAAUGUCAAUGGACGAUCCUAGAUCUAGUCAAUCUGGUGGUGUGUCUGUGGGAGAUACAGAUAUGUCAGAGGCAACUACAGAGGACCAAGAGUUGGCUUUUGCCCUUCAAAUGUCUGUGCAGGACAGUGCAAAAGAUACAGCUAGCCAGAAUGACAUGAGCAAGGUGCUUGGUGACCAAUCUUUCAUGUCAUCUAUUCUUGCUUCGCUUCCUGGAGUUGACCCUAAUGAUCCUUCAGUUAAGGAUUUGCUGGCAUCUCUUCAAGGUCAAACAGAGCAAAAGAAAGAUGAAGAUAAGCCACCAAGCGAGGGCGAAAAGUGAUGGUGCUCUGUAAGCUGUCCAUGCCUCCACAUGCUCUCCAAAGCUCAACUUUGCCAAUAUUGUUCUACUGGUGCACCUGUCCAAAGAACGACCAGGGUCACGGACCAUCGUGCCGCGGAUCUAUUUUUUGUGGGAACUCAUGGAAUUGAACACCAGUGCUUGGUGCAGCAAAUAGAUGAUCUCCUUGGAUAUUGUGUUUGAUAUCAUGGUCAGGUUUGUGAUAUACAUACAGAAGGUUCCUAGGAAAGUUUGUGAGAAGUAGACGUCUCUUUUCAACCAUGAAUGAAUUUGAUUUAAACAGUUUCAAUGUUUCCAAAUUAUGAUGACUUGAAGUGAAGCUCGUGGUGCAAGUUGUUCUUGUUUGGGACUUUGAUGGUGGCGGCAGCAGCAGCAGCAGUCAGGGAGGUUAUUUGUGCAUUCAAUUAGAGGCCUUGGUAAAUUCCUCCUAGUUUGAAUUAAUCAAACAACCACCUAUUGUAGGUUAUUUAUUUCCAAAGCACUGGUUUAAAAUGGAUGCAUGCCUGCCAUCGAAUUCUGUGACACAGACCAUGCAAACACGCCAUCAAAUUCUGAGGUUUUGCACA
RNA transcript from Magnolia sinica, 1949 nucleotides. It is a transcript of the gene named 26S proteasome non-ATPase regulatory subunit 4 homolog, with no coding region annotated. The record is from RefSeq and is a predicted model, not a curated record. NCBI's taxonomy places the organism in Eukaryota, Viridiplantae, Streptophyta, Magnoliopsida, Magnoliales, Magnoliaceae. The transcript is spliced from 12 exons.